This is a long non-coding RNA of Notothenia coriiceps (black rockcod), 1213 nucleotides long. RefSeq lists it as uncharacterized. The record is from RefSeq and is a predicted model, not a curated record. NCBI's taxonomy places the organism in Eukaryota, Metazoa, Chordata, Actinopteri, Perciformes, Nototheniidae. The transcript is spliced from 3 exons.
GAUGAUUGGUUGAAAGACGUGUCAAUCACUAAUCUUUCUCAGUGUAUUCCGCUGGUCUUUGUUUGGAUGGAUUGGUUCGCUUGCAUCAGAACUAAAUCCACAAAGGAAUAAGGUCGGAUAUUCAACUUUUUAUACAACAAUGGGAUUUCUCUGGUAGACAUUUCACACGUGUUUACUACUGUCAUUAUUGUGUAAAGGCAGCAGCCAUUAGGUUCAACACAGUGGGUCGUGUUAUGAGUAAUAGGUUCGGUACUUCCAUUGCCGUACAGUGGAUGUGUUAACAGCAGCUUCUAGCAUAUGUCGUCCGCCAACUGGCCAUAGUUGUGGCUAGCAGGUUAGAUGCUGUUUUCUCUCACACAAUUACAAGAAGAAUAUUCAAUCCGAGCCUGAAGUCCUGCAGUGAGCGGGACCGAAAGGAUCUGUCCCCCCUGGACCUCUUCACGCCCCUGUUAUUCUGGGACAGGAAUGACCCGGCCACCUUGGAACACAUCAAACCAUGCUGGUACUGGGACAAGAAGGACUUGGCCCACACCCCGUCCCAGUCCGACGGGCUGGACCCUGCCACUGAGGCCCGGUACCGCAGAGAGGGGGCUCGCUACAUCUUUGAUGUUGGCACACGGCUCGGACUUCACUAUGACACACUGGCUACUGGGAUUGUUUACUUCCACCGCUUCUACAUGUUCCACUCCUUCAAGCAGUUUCCUAGAUAUGUGACAGGAGGAUGCUGUCUUUUCCUGGCAGGCAAAGUGGAGGAAACUCCAAAGAAGUGCAAAGACAUCAUCAAGACCGCUCGCAGCCUGCUAAAUGACAUCCAGUUUGCACAGUUUGGAGAUGAUCCCAAGGUCUGUCCAAAUAAAUACUUUUAUUAGCAAAGUAUUUUCUCUAAAAGUGCUGACAAAUAACCUGCUAUGAGUUUUAUUCAUUUUUCUGGGCUCUAUUUUUCUCAAGCCUUUCAACUUGGUGGACAGUAUUUUGUUAGUCAAAUUGGACAAAUCUUAAAAUGAGUACAUCCAUCCAUUAGUGUCUUAAUGUCUUAGGCCCAAUCCCAAACCACUCCCUCGACCCUACCCCUCCGUGACGGAGUGAACUCUGUCUGUAGCCACACUCGAAGCUGAAUGAAGUUCCCUCCAUUAAGGGUUAAGUGUAUAAAUACAGCGGCAAGCUUUGGGACGGCCUCCCCUCUCUCCGGCAGAAACAGGAAAUGCCGUAGCUG